ACGCUCGACACCUACGGGGGGCAGCAGUGGGGAAUAUUGCACAAUGGGGGAAACCCUGAUGCAGCGACGCCGCGUGAGCGAAGAAGUAUCUCGGUAUGUAAAGCUCUAUCAGCAGGGAAGAAGAUGACGGUACCUGACUAAGAAGCACCGGCUAAAUACGUGGCAGCAGCCGCGGUAAUCUGAGCGGGCUGGCAAGGC
This 198-nucleotide ribosomal RNA is filed under the name uncultured bacterium. RNAcentral's name for it is "partial 16S ribosomal RNA". It matches the Rfam family "Bacterial small subunit ribosomal RNA", at positions 328 to 539 of the family's 1533-position model. The record is from RNAcentral.